This 653-nucleotide long non-coding RNA is filed under the name Nicotiana benthamiana. RNAcentral describes it as "long non-coding RNA (NBEN_LNC021416)". The record is from RNAcentral. Lineage: Eukaryota; Viridiplantae; Streptophyta; Magnoliopsida; Solanales; Solanaceae.
ACGGUGCAGAAAUGCAGAACUUAUAGGCAUAAUUUCUACGAUACAAAAAUGCAGAAAUGCAGGAAACUCAUAGGCAUGAGUUCUAAAAUGCAGAGAAAAAGAACUGCAGAAAACUUAUAGGCAUGAGUUCUAAAAUGUAGAAUGCAGAAAUUAUAAAUAACAUAUAGGCAAAUUUUCUACCCUUUGCAUGCAUUCAUCCCCAUCCCUUUCCACUAGCCAUCCCCAAUACUUAUAACAAAUUAUUACACACCCGAAUGAAUCGGAAAAGUAAAAUUACAUCAGAAGUUCAAGCUAUAUCCAAACAGCCUAAUUGAGACUUAAGGUCUAAAAAUAUAAGGUAAACCAACUUCCUGGAUCCGUUUUCUGAAAGCCUUUCUCACAUUUGAGGUGUGUCAAAGUUCCCAAGAGUCUUAAAGGGACUCGGGACAGUGCUUACACUCCAAACACAUUGCAGAAUUAGAUUGUAGUGCAGUGGAAGAGUCAGCCUUCAAAUGUCCAAGUUCAAAGGGAACUCAGGGUCCCAAAGCAUGGAUCAUAAGAAGGGGACAGAACUUAGAAUCUAAGAGUAAGUGUAAGUGCAUAAGGGGGAAUUAGGGAAAGCCAUUUCAGGCUGGUGGUCAUGCCCGACAAAUGGGAAUGCUGGCACACCCCUG